GCCGAAAGUGGUGAUGUAUUCCUGUAAUCCAACUACUCGGAGGGUAGGUAUAGAGGGUGUUUUAAGGGUGGGAAUUUUGGGAUUGAAUUUCUCACGGUGACUAAACGUCCGCUAGGGGUAAAUCUUCAACUCGGAUGCUUUGGGGGGAAGCCCGAGGUUGCUGGUUGAGUACAAAAAGGCAAAAAAUCGAACCGAAAAUCAACCGAGUCGAGAAUCGUGGGUUCAAAUCCUGGGAAUGGGAGUUUAAUUUCAGCACGUCCAGGAGGAACGAACCUCUACCUUC
This 283-nucleotide non-coding RNA is filed under the name Pediculus humanus corporis (human body louse). Lineage: Eukaryota; Metazoa; Arthropoda; Insecta; Psocodea; Pediculidae. The record is from RNAcentral.